UUCCGGUUGAUCCUGCCGGACCUUACUGCUAUCGGGGCGGGACUAAGACAUGCAAGUCGUGCGUCUCUAAGCUAUGGUAGAGACGCGGCGUACGGCUCAGUAACACGUGGCUAACCUACCCUUAGGACGGAGACAACCCCGGGAAACUGGGGCUAAUACCUGAUAGGUGAGGAGGCCUGGAAUGGUUCUUCGCUGAAAAGGCGUUGAAACCAUGCUUUUCAACGUCGCCUAAGGAUGGGGCCGCGUCCGAUCAGGUUGUUGGUGGGGUAACGGCUCACCAAGCCUAUAACCGGUACGGGCCGUGAGAGCGGAAGCCCGGAGAUGGGCACUGAGAUAAGGGCCCAGGCCCUACGGGGCGCAGCAGUUGCGAAAACUCCGCAAUGCACGAAAGUGUGACGGGGCUACCCCGAGUGCCGUCCGCUGAGGAUGGCUUUUCUCCGCUGUAAGGAGGCGGAGGAAUAAGGAGAGGGCAAGACUGGUGUCAGCCGCCGCGGUAAUACCAGCUCUCCGAGUGGUAGGGGUGAUUAUUGGGCUUAAAGCGUCCGUAGCCGGCCUGGCAAGUCUUCCGUUAAAUCCAGCAACCUAAUUGUUGGGCUGCGGGGGAUACUGUUAGGCUAGGGGGCGGGAGAGGCCGACGGUAUUCUCGGGGUAGGGGUGAAAUCUUAUAAUCCCGAGAGGACCACCAGUGGCGAAGGCUGUCGGCUAGCACGCGCCUGACGGUGAGGGACGAAAGCUGGGGGAGCGAACCGGAUUAGAUACCCGGGUAGUCCCUGCUGUAAACGAUGCGAGCUAGGUGUUGGGGGCGGCUACGAGCCGCUUCAGUGCCGCAGCGAAGCGUUAAGCUCGCCGCCUGGGGGAGUACGGCCGCAGGCUGAAACUUAAGGAUUGGCGGGGGAGCACACAGGCGUGAGCUGCGUUAUGAUCACGCGA
RNAcentral lists this ribosomal RNA (930 nucleotides) under uncultured archaeon. Its description in RNAcentral is "bacterial SSU rRNA". It matches the Rfam family "Archaeal small subunit ribosomal RNA", at positions 1 to 915 of the family's 1478-position model. The record is from RNAcentral.